Molecule: small RNA, 124 nt
Filed under: Marmota monax (woodchuck)
Lineage: Eukaryota; Metazoa; Chordata; Mammalia; Rodentia; Sciuridae
Source: RNAcentral
GCUGGGCAUAGUGGCACAUGCCUGUAAUUCCAGUGGCCUAGGAGGCUGAGGCAGGAGGAUCAUGGGUUCAAACCAGCCUCUGCAAAAGCAAGGUGCUAAGCAACUCAGUGAGACCCUGUCUCUA